UUCCGAUUAACUGGAUGUCGGGCUUCACUGCGGUGCUGGGAAGAGGCGUGCUGGGUGCUCCUCGCCAGGGCAUCCGGCGCUUUCUUACGUCAAGUGUAAAUAACGUUACGUUGCUUUGAUUCAGAGCACAGCCCUUCCGGGACAGUCUGUGGGCGAUUGACAGACGCUGACGGUCGUCGUGGCCAUGAAUUAUGUGGACACAGCAGGUCCGUGGCUCCUCUUGGUCUUGUUGGGGGUGAGGGAACUGGGGGAGACAGGUGGCGACUGGGCACACGAGAAACACAUGCUUUUCUCCCCAGAUGUGUUUGCAUAAAUUUGUUGGCGGACACAUUUUGCCCUGUCCUUUUUCCACAGCAGUACUUUUAUACUCUCCAUGAGCAGUGCUCUGCUGGGGGUGGUGCUCCUCAGCUGCGUCCUCUCCCUGAGGCGGUGCUCCUUCGGAUCUCCCAUGAGCGGUGCUCUGCUGGGGGUGGUGCUCCUCAGCCGCGUCCUCUCCCUGAGGCGGUGCUCCUUCGGAUCGCCCAUGAGCGGUGCUCUGCUGGGGGUGGUGCUCCUCGGCUGCGUCCUCUCCCUGGGGCGGUGCUCCUUUGGAUCCCCCGUGAGUGGUGCUCUGCUGGGAGACACCACGGGCUGUCUUAGAAGGUCCCAUGUCCUCACACCCUCCCCGUGGAUGAUUUGCGACCAGAGCAGGCGUCCACACCCUGUCGGGGACGGAUCAAGCUCGUGGCUCCGGUCCCGUCUGCGGGACGUAUGGCUGUUGAGAUCGGUGACGGGGACUGAGGUGCCAAGGGCAUCUCAAGAGCCUUUCUGGUCUGUUUCUCUGGAGGGGAAGGUUAGCAACGGAACAGCUUUACAGGGUCGCUGCUAUAAGGACAGAGCUGACCUUAGAAUGGACGCUACCUCAUCAGAGGUUUGUUUUUGUGUUUUCUGGCAAUUUUGAGAAUUCCUAGCUGUUGCUCGGAGCCUUUUCUUGAUGUCUUUGACAAAAUGCCUUGUCACGUGUUACAGGUUUUUAGUAAGUGAUUUCUGUCUCGAUAAAACCUACAGUUCUAGCAUGUAUGGAACUUCUGUCAUGAUGCUCUGACAGUUUAUGAACUAGGUAACAUCUCUCUGAAUCCGAAAUUAAAAGGUGUCCGUACACAUGUGACCUCAGUCCAAAUUAGGUAGCACUCUCCGUUUUAACAAAUAAACCUCCUUGUGACAAGAGCCACUGCGAUGUGUUUGUGGGAUGAAUAACAACAAAGUCACACCGUAAGUGGAGAAUUACAUAUCGAGAUUGUACCUGGAGUCAGUCCAAAGUGUUCCUGUGCACAUAGGUGACCCGUUAAAUCUACCGAAGACGCGGCUUUUUGACGAGAGUGUCUGGCAAGGGGUGGGAAGCGCCAGGCAGGUGUAUGAAUAACUCAGCGAGAUUCUUCAGGAAUGAAUACACCUGAGUUUGUUUGCUGCGUGUUGAUUCUGCUCAAGCCUCUUAAAAAUGCUUCUGUCACGGGGAGAAAUAGAUCAACAAAGCGAAUCCCUAAGACUGUACUUGAAGUUACUUCUGUGCCACUUGGAGUUGCGCUGAGAACUCCUAGCAAUUGUUCCUUCCUCAUCCUUGAUUGUGAGCGAGAAAAGAUUUAUUUCUGUUGUUUCUUUGUCUCUGUAAACUCAGGUUCUGCUGUCUUACGCUUAUUACUAACCGGCCUGUUGACUUCGGGUCCACGGAGGUGCAGGGCUGUGGUCUUAGGACCUGAGCAAGGCCCUCGGUGGAUCAGCCGUCCUUCCCUCUGGCCUGGGGACGGCGCUCGCCCAGGCCGGUGACGCUGACGCCACAGUGAUCUGCCUCUCCCUCUGUGGCAGCUAGUUUGCGGUCAUGGCCCCUGCUCGUCGGUUUUGUCCUCUGUUAGAUUUAAAGGAGCUUUUGUUGACUAAUCACUGAAUGUUCUGGUUCUCUAAGGAAAUUCUACUUCCUUAGCAAACUUUGGAAUUUAAGAAUUCCCAAGGAGACGUGUCUGCCAAGAUAGUUGAAAACUACGUCGGUCCCAGAGGUUUAAGCCUUCGUAUUUUUCUUAUCCUGUAGCUUCCGUACUUUAAAAAAAAACCACAAUUGCCGCGCUAGAUUUAGGGUAUGCUAUAGGUCCUGAGGCUGUCUGGAACGGGAGUCCUUCAACUUACCCAGUCGUGUUCUUUUCCACGUUGGGUGUGCUUUGCCAACGUGAACUGAUAUAGGAGUCCCGGUCUUCUCCUGGACACUUCAGAAACUGUGGAUUAUGGGUUUUCUUUUUGUUUGUUUGUGUUUUUAGAUCCUGCACUGUCCUGUAUUCCUGCAGGAGUUCUAUGAUGUGACACAGUUGAUGGACUUUUAUAGAUGCUCAUCAUGGAUGCGAGUUCUGUUUUCAAAUAGCCGUUUACUCUUGGCUGACCGUGUUUCCUGAGCACCUACCACGUGCCAGGCUCUGUGACACAGAGACGACCCGAAUACUGGGCAGACAAGGUGCUCCUCUGUUUCUUAAGGUGCAGGUGGUGGUUUAGACAAGAAAGCAAGGCAAGGGGGCCAGUCGGUGGGGGUCCUGGAACCCAGACUGGGGCAUCUGGAAGGCCGUGCAGGGGCAGGGGCUGCCCGCAGGAGCCCCCCGGAGGGUCAGGAGCAUGUUCCGUGAGAGGGGCCUGGGAAGUCCGGCAGGACUGGAGGAUGGAGGGCGUCCUCUGGGCCCUGGGGAGCCCCGAGCAAAGAUGGCAUUGUUGGUGCUGUGUCUUGUGUUGCGACGUUCUGGACAGGCGGCUGAGCACUGCUGUGGGGGCGCGGGGGCUGAUCGGUGAGAGACACGGGGCCCUGAGGUCGGGUGCGGCUGGGAGAGAGCAGAAGGGUGUUCUCGGGCACCGCGGUGGGACGUGCGCAAAGGGAAGGGACCCAGGCGACCCUGGUUUUGGCCGCAGCCACCGGCUCUCAGGAGCAGGCCUGCCCGAGGCCGCAGCUUGGCAGCGAGAAGCCCGACGCACCUGGUUCCAGGUCACGUCUGAGCCAAGGUUGGGGUGCCUCCUGGGGUUCCCGCCAGGGAUGUCCAGCAGGAGAGCCGAGUAUGUGGGUCUGACUGGGGAGGAGGAGAUGUGUCUUUAACAGCUUCCAGCAUGGACGUUCGGCGCAGAUCAGCCAACUCACUUUUGGGGAACUGGACGCCGUAGACGGUGGAGAUAGCGGGUUAUGCAGAGCGGGUCUCUCCGCCUGACUCCACGCAGGUCCGGUAAGGUCAGGACAGCAGCACGUACUGUGCUUGGGUGGGAGUGACCACGCCGGGGUAGAGAGUCACUUGUUACUGUCCGUUACUCCAGAAACGACCCUGUCCCAGGUGACCGGAGGAGCCUCGGGGACGGGUGGGUGUGCGCUGCUGACGCACGUGGACCUGGGGGAUGCGCACAUUCGCGCCCGUCGCCGAUGAGCCUGCUCGCAGACCGUGCGAGGGAACCAACCUCGAUGGCCGUUCUCUUCCCUUGGUGUCUCCCAGCUCUGUCGGGACCUUGGAAGGGCUCUUGUUCCGUCUCGCUUUGUUUCGCAGACUGGUCGUUCCUUAGACAGAGGAUGUGUCGUUUGAGAGAAGCCUUGCCACGCAGACGUAGGGGCCUGGUUUGUGGCUCUGGGCUGGGAGGACCUCGUUUUACAUCUGCCACCAUACGCCGGCCGCCCUUGCUUUGCCUGUUAAUGUCUGGGUUGUCUGUGUUAGGAGAUUGUGACAAGUCCUAGCGUACUGUGCAUCCGAGUGAACCGCUUAACAGGCAAGAGGUCCAUAUGCCAAAAUGGGUCUGGUGCAGUUAGGUCAGAGUGAACAGAGACUCUAGGGAGAAGGGAAAUUGUUUUCUUUUGCUAUGUGUCUGACAGCAGUCUGUUUCCCGCACGCACGCUGGUUAACGGGCCUUCCUUGCUCCCGUAGGCCAAGUGGCAAGGAUUCCCGGAUCCUUAGAGGCUAAAGAUGUGGGUUAAAUGGAAGAGUUUCCAGGAGGAAGCUCGUGGUCACGGGAUCUGUUCUGCAGGAUCUUCCUUUGGCAUCUGCUGUCGCAGGAGCCUGGGUUCUGGAGGUGCAGGGAUCUUCAUGACCGGAACAUGGCCGAGGCGGUGGGGUAGUUCUCCCCCUCCCUCAGCAAUAAAGGCCCCCGUGUCCCUUCUGCUUGUCAUGUGAUUUAAACUGCAGGCGUCAGGGAGCUAGUAUUCCAAGCAGAAUUGUACACGAGAGGAGAGCUGCGUGCCUAUUGUCACCUUCAGGAUCUUUGUCAGAGCUUUCGGUGACUCAGUAAAUGUUUAAUUUCUAGUAAUCACCGAUAUUCAUCAGUAGGAAGAGCAUGCUUUGAAAAUAAUAGGCUGAAAUAUGGGUAUCGUUGUCCCAUGGAUGGUAGGAGGACAAAAAAAAAAAAGAACCUAGGAGGCUUUUUGUGUGUGUUGGGAAGAAAUUUUUUUUCCAUUAUGUUGUUAAACAUCAGAAAUGAAAAUAAUAUUUAGAAUGAAGAAAAAUUAACCCUCUCUCCCUGCACUCACCUGGCUUUUGGAUUUAAAGGACCAGACUGACUUUUGCUGAAAUACGAAAUCUGGUGUUUCAGUUUGUUUAGGUUUCUUGCCAGAGUUUAAAGACUACGAUUAAUAGUUUAUUUCUUAUUAUUCUAAAUGUUAUUUUAAAAUAGUUAAGCUGGAGAGAUAAUUCCAUUAAUCAAAAUACCAGGAAAUGAGAAAAUAAAUGGCAACCUAAUUUAUCUCAUUUUUGGCCACGGAUGUUACGACGCAGACGAUGGAGAAAUCACGUCGCGGGCGUGUUUGAGUCCGUGUGGAAUCUCUUGUCGUCCGACUUCGAGAUUCUCAGCACCACGGAUCGAAUUUCAGAAUUCAGCGCAUCUGUCUAAGCAAUUUUGUUAUUCACAACACCCAAGCAGACAUCUUAAAACAUGUUACCCAUUUUUCUGUAAGUGGAGCCUACUGUGAAAAGUUGUGACUAUAGUGAGUGAUUUGUCUAAAAUUACGCACCGUAGCGUGAGCUCCUGCCUGCGGGGGUUCGUUGGGUGGAGGUCCUGGUCAGUGAGGUGCUGUGUGUGAUGUUGUCAUGCAUUGGGCGCUAUACUGCGUGUCUGAUGCAAGUCUUGUCCCCAUCUGUCUGAAGGGUGAGAGAUUCAUGUGUGUGUGGGGUUGGGGACAGGCUUUUUUUGUGUUUAUGCCAUUAACCCCCACACACGAGGGCAUGUGCGUUCCCUUAGCUUAUAAAGACAAAAGGGAAAACCGUAUGGCUUAUCAAGUUCCAGAAGUCCGUCUCCACCCCUAGAACAUCAAAAUGCCCUAAAGAAGGAUACUUCAGUGUUACUGAAAAGCCCACAAUUUACACGGUGGC
Molecule: long non-coding RNA, 5345 nt
Organism: Herpailurus yagouaroundi (jaguarundi)
Lineage: Eukaryota; Metazoa; Chordata; Mammalia; Carnivora; Felidae
Exons: 2
Source: RefSeq, a predicted model, not a curated record